AGUGAACGCUGGCGGUAGGCCUAACGCAUGCAAGUCGAACGGCAGCACAGGAGAGCUUGCUCUCUGGGUGGCGAGUGGCGGACGGGUGAGGAAUACAUCGGAAUCUACUUUUUCGUGGGGGAUAACGUAGGGAAACUUACGCUAAUACCGCAUACGACCUACGGGUGAAAGCAGGGGAUCUUCGGACCUUGCGCGAUUGAAUGAGCCGAUGUCGGAUUAGCUAGUUGGCGGGGUAAAGGCCCACCAAGGCGACGAUCCGUAGCUGGUCUGAGUGGAUGAUCAGCCACACUGGAACUGAGACACGGUCCAGACUCCUACGGGAGGCAGCAGUGGGGAAUAUUGGACAAUGGGCGCAAGCCUGAUCCAGCCAUACCGCGUGGGUGAAGAAGGCCUUCGGGUUGUAAAGCCCUUUUGUUGGGAAAGAAAUCCAGCUGGUUAAUACCCGGUAGGGAUGACGGUACCCAAAGAAUAAGCACCGGCUAACUUCGUGCCAGCCGCCGCCGUAA
This 506-nucleotide ribosomal RNA is filed under the name uncultured bacterium. Its description in RNAcentral is "partial 16S ribosomal RNA". It matches the Rfam family "Bacterial small subunit ribosomal RNA", at positions 29 to 523 of the family's 1533-position model. The record is from RNAcentral.